This 253-nucleotide ribosomal RNA is filed under the name uncultured bacterium. Its description in RNAcentral is "partial 16S ribosomal RNA". It matches the Rfam family "Bacterial small subunit ribosomal RNA", at positions 524 to 776 of the family's 1533-position model. The record is from RNAcentral.
UACAGAGGGUGCGAGCGUUGUCCGGAAUCACUGGGCGUAAAGGGCGCGUAGGUGGCGACCCAAGUCGAUGGUGAAAGCUCGCCGCUCAACGGCGAGUCGGCCACCGAUACUGGGUUGCUCGAGCACUGUAGAGGCUAAUGGAAUUCCGGGUGUAGCGGUGGAAUGCGUAGAGAUCCGGAAGAACACCGGUGGCGAAGGCGGUUAGCUGGGCAGUUGCUGACACUGAGAGACGAAAGCUAGGGGAGCAAAUGGG